AACGAACGUUGGCGGCAUGGAUUAGGCAUGCAAGUCGAAUGAAUGCUGGGUAGCAAUAUUCAGCGGAAAUGGCGAAAGGGGCAGUAAUACAUGGAUAACCUACCCUGGGGAUGGGCAUAGCCGGUCUAACGGCCGGGUAAUACCCAGAGAUUCGGCGAGGAGGCAUCUUUUUGCCGGGAAAUGAAUUUCGCUUCGGGAGGGGUCCAUGAGCUAUCAGCUAGUUGGUGAGGUAACGGCUCACCAAGGCAAAGACGGCUAGCGGGUGUGAGAGCACGACCCGCGCCACUGGCACUGAGACACUGGCCAGACACCUACGGGUGGCUGCAGUCGAGGAUCUUCGUCAAUGGGCGAAAGCCUGAACGAGCGAUGCCGCGUGAGCGAUGAAGGCCUUCGGGUUGUAAAGCUCAAAAGUGAAGAGAAAGGGAAACUUGAUCGAUUCACAGUAAGCUCGGGCUAAGUUCGUGCCAGCAGCCGCAGUAAAAC
RNAcentral lists this ribosomal RNA (483 nucleotides) under uncultured bacterium. RNAcentral's name for it is "bacterial SSU rRNA". It matches the Rfam family "Bacterial small subunit ribosomal RNA", at positions 29 to 526 of the family's 1533-position model. The record is from RNAcentral.